GAUGAAGAACGUAGCGAAAUGCGAUACUUGGUGUGAAUUGCAGAAUCCCGUGAACCAUCGAGUCUUUGAACGCAAGUUGCGCCCGAAGCCAUUAGGCCGAGGGCACGCCUGCCUGGGCGUCACACGUCGUUGCCCCCCCAUCUACUCCUUCGGGAUUGCGGGGGGCGGAUGAUGGCCUCCCGUGCGCCUCGUCGCGCGGUUGGCAUAAAUGCCAAGUCCUCGGCGACGCACGCCACGACAAUCGGUGGUUGCGAAACCUCUGUUGCCCGUCGUGUGCGGUCGUCGCGCAUCGAGGGCUCGAAAAAAUUGCCGGGCUCCGGCUCGGCUUUCAACGCGACCCCAGGUCAGGCGGGGUUACCCGCUGAAUUUAAGCAUAUCAAUAAGCGGAGGA
RNAcentral lists this unclassified non-coding RNA (391 nucleotides) under soil metagenome. Its description in RNAcentral is "partial contains 5.8S ribosomal RNA, internal transcribed spacer 2, and large subunit ribosomal RNA". The stretch from base 1 to 122 matches the Rfam family "5.8S ribosomal RNA", at positions 35 to 154 of the family's 154-position model. The record is from RNAcentral.